UAAUACGUAGGGAGCGAGCGUUGUCCGGAAUCAUUGGGCGUAAAGAGCACGUAGGUGGAUCAAUUAGUCUGCUGUGAAAGUCGAAGGCUCAACCUUCGAAAGCCGGUGGAUACUGUUGAUCUAGAGUACGGAAGAGGCGAGUGGAAUUCCUGGUGUAGCGGUGGAAUGCGCAGAUAUCAGGAGGAACACCAAUAGCGAAGGCAGCUCGCUGGGACGUAACUGACACUGAGGUGCGAAAGCGUGGGGAGCAAACAGG
Molecule: ribosomal RNA, 256 nt
Filed under: uncultured bacterium
Lineage: Bacteria
Description: partial 16S ribosomal RNA
Rfam family: Bacterial small subunit ribosomal RNA
Source: RNAcentral